Molecule: ribosomal RNA, 387 nt
Filed under: uncultured bacterium
Lineage: Bacteria
Description: bacterial SSU rRNA
Rfam family: Bacterial small subunit ribosomal RNA
Source: RNAcentral
GACGAACGCUGGCGGCGUGCUUAACACAUGCAAGUCGAGCGGUAAGGCCCUUUCGGGGGUACACGAGCGGCGAACGGGUGAGUAACACGUGGGUGACCUGCCCUCAGCUCUGGGAUAAGCCUGGGAAACUGGGUCUAAUACCGGAUAUGACUCCAUGACGCAUGUUGUGGGGUGGAAAGCCUUGUGCGGCUGAGGAUGGGCCCGCGGCCUAUCAGCUUGUUGGUGGGGUGAUGGCCUACCAAGGCGACGACGGGUAGCCGGCCUGAGAGGGCGACCGGCCACACUGGGACUGAGACACGGCCCAGACUCCUACGGGAGGCAGCAGUGGGGAAUCUUGCGCAAUGGGCGAAAGCCUGACGCAGCGACGCCGCGUGAGGGAUGAAGGUC